RNAcentral lists this ribosomal RNA (241 nucleotides) under uncultured bacterium. RNAcentral's name for it is "partial 16S ribosomal RNA". It matches the Rfam family "Bacterial small subunit ribosomal RNA", at positions 115 to 353 of the family's 1533-position model. The record is from RNAcentral.
ACGUAUCCAACCUGCCGAUCGUACUCGGGGAUAGCCUUUCGAAAGAAAGAUUAAUACCCGAUGGCAUAGUUCUUCCGCAUGGUGGAACUAUUAAAGAAUUUCGGUCAUCGAUGGGGAUGCGUUCCAUUAGGUUGUUGGCGGGGUAACGGCCCACCAAGCCUUCGAUGGAUAGGGGUUCUGAGAGGAAGGUCCCCCACAUUGGAACUGAGACACGGUCCAAACUCCUACGGGAGGCAGCAUG